UACGUAGGUGGCAAGCGUUGUCCGGAUUUAUUGGGUUUAAAGGGUGCGUAGGUGGCCUGUUAAGUCAGGGGUGAAAGACGGUAGCUCAACUAUCGCAGUGCCCUUGAUACUGAUGGGCUUGAAUGAACUAGAGGUAGGCGGAAUGUGACAAGUAGCGGUGAAAUGCAUAGAUAUGUCACAGAACACCAAUUGCGAAGGCAGCUUACUAUGGUUUUAUUGACACUGAGGCACGAAAGCGUGGGGAUCAAACAGG
This 253-nucleotide ribosomal RNA is filed under the name uncultured prokaryote. RNAcentral's name for it is "partial 16S ribosomal RNA". It matches the Rfam family "Bacterial small subunit ribosomal RNA", at positions 524 to 776 of the family's 1533-position model. The record is from RNAcentral.